This 123-nucleotide non-coding RNA is filed under the name Mycolicibacterium neoaurum. Lineage: Bacteria; Bacillati; Actinomycetota; Actinomycetes; Mycobacteriales; Mycobacteriaceae. The record is from RNAcentral.
GGUGCCAUACCGGUAGAGUGCGGUGCUGACCUGCAGGGGAAUCCGGUGCCAAUCCGGAGCUGACGCGCAGCGGUGUGAGGCAUGGCCUCGAGCCCGAAUGCCUGCGGUCGUGCAAUCGUCGAC